This 253-nucleotide ribosomal RNA is filed under the name uncultured bacterium. Its description in RNAcentral is "partial 16S ribosomal RNA". It matches the Rfam family "Bacterial small subunit ribosomal RNA", at positions 524 to 776 of the family's 1533-position model. The record is from RNAcentral.
UACGUAGGGACCAAGCGUUGUUCGGAUUUACUGGGCGUAAAGGGCGCGUAGGCGGCGCGGUAAGUCACUUGUGAAAUCUCUGAGCUUAACUCAGAACGGCCAAGUGAUACUGCAGUGCUAGAGUGUGGAAGGGGCAAUCGGAAUUCUUGGUGUAGCGGUGAAAUGCGUAGAUAUCGGGAGGAACACCGGUGGCGAAGGCGGUUCUCUGGGCCUGUUCUGACGCUGAGGAGCGAAAGCGUGGGGAGCAAACAGG